UACGAAGGGGGCUAGCGUUGUUCGGAGUUACUGGGCGUAAAGGGCGCGUAGGCGGCGCACCAAGUCAGGCGUGAAAGCCCUGGGCUCAACCCGGGAAUUGCGCUUGAGACUGGUGUGCUCGAGUACGGGAGAGGAUAGUGGAAUUCCCAGUGUAGAGGUGAAAUUCGUAGAUAUUGGGAAGAACACCGGUGGCGAAGGCGGCUAUCUGGACCGUAACUGACGCUGAGGCGCGAAAGCGUGGGGAGCAAACAGG
This 253-nucleotide ribosomal RNA is filed under the name uncultured bacterium. RNAcentral describes it as "partial 16S ribosomal RNA". It matches the Rfam family "Bacterial small subunit ribosomal RNA", at positions 524 to 776 of the family's 1533-position model. The record is from RNAcentral.